Non-coding RNA from Pseudonaja textilis, 236 nucleotides. Lineage: Eukaryota; Metazoa; Chordata; Lepidosauria; Squamata; Elapidae. The record is from RefSeq and is a predicted model, not a curated record.
AAGAAAAAACGCUUCCAGGAUUAAACAAAAGAAGAAAUUCUACAAGAAGAAACUUCUAAAAAGAGAACAGGAGAGGGUGGGGAAGAAGAUGGGUGACUGGCAGAUGGAAAUAAAAAGGAAAGAUCGGGAAAACAUAGAAAAGGGAAAGCUAGCUAAAACCAAGAAAAAGGACAAGGCUGAGAGAUUUAGAGAUAAGGAUUAGAUAUGAUAUAAAAGGGAGAUGCGGCUGUGAGAAA